Molecule: ribosomal RNA, 253 nt
Filed under: uncultured bacterium
Lineage: Bacteria
Description: partial 16S ribosomal RNA
Rfam family: Bacterial small subunit ribosomal RNA
Source: RNAcentral
AACGUAGGUUCCGAGCGUUAUCCGGAUUUACUGGGCGUAACGCGCGCUCAGGCGGUCGGGCAAGUCGGGCAUGAAAUCUCUCGGCUCAACCGGGAGAGGUUGUCCGAUACUGUCGGACUGGAGGGCAGUAGAGGGUGGUGGAAUUCCGGGUGUAGUGGUGAAAUGCGUAGAUAUCCGGAGGAACACCAGUGGCGAAGGCGGCCACCUGGACUGUACCUGACGCUGAAACGCGAAAGCUAGGGGAGCGAACGGG